GAUGAACGCUGGCGGCGUGCCUAAUACAUGCAAGUCGAGCGAACAGACGAGGAGCUUGCUCCUCUGACGUUAGCGGCGGACGGGUGAGUAACACGUGGAUAACCUACCUAUCAGACUGGGAUAACUUCGGGAAACCGGAGCUAAUACCGGAUAAUAUAUUGAACCGCAUGGUUCAAUAGUGAAAGACGGUUUUGCUGUCACUUAUAGAUGGAUCCGCGCCGCAUUAGCUAGUUGGUAAGGUAACGGCUUACCAAGGCAACGAUGCGUAGCCGACCUGAGAGGGUGAUCGGCCACACUGGAACUGAGACACGGUCCAGACUCCUAAGGGAGGCAGCAGUAGGGAAUCUUCCGCAAUGGGCGAAAGCCUGACGGAGCAACGCCGCGUGAGUGAUGAAGGUCUUCGGAUCGUAAAACUCUGUUAUUAGGGAAGAACAAAUGUGUAAGUAACUAUGCACGUCUUGACGGUACCUAAUCAGAAAGCCACGGCUAACUACGUG
This 497-nucleotide ribosomal RNA is filed under the name uncultured bacterium. RNAcentral's name for it is "partial 16S ribosomal RNA". It matches the Rfam family "Bacterial small subunit ribosomal RNA", at positions 28 to 507 of the family's 1533-position model. The record is from RNAcentral.